Long non-coding RNA from Mus musculus (house mouse), 1745 nucleotides. RefSeq annotates it as predicted gene, 53601. The record is from RefSeq and is a predicted model, not a curated record. NCBI's taxonomy places the organism in Eukaryota, Metazoa, Chordata, Mammalia, Rodentia, Muridae. The transcript is spliced from 3 exons.
GAGAAUGCUUAAGCAGCACACAGCAGCGGCUGAGUCACUGUUCCCUAGGCACUGGCUUCAUGAGAGCUGUUACCUUGAUAGAAAAUGUCUGCUUGACACUACUUCAUGAAACAAGAUCAUGGAUGCACUGCUCCCAGAGACAAACUUUGAAAUGUUCUCUUAACAGCCCUGUAGUUUCCUAAGCAAGAUACUCUUCAAGGGACUGACGGAUGGUGUUCUUCAGCAAGGCGAAGAAAGAGAAAUCACCGCACAGGGUUCCCAGUUGCUUCUGUUUCUUUAGGAGAGAAUUGCAAUGUGUUUUCUUUAAGUUUGGACCAAUUCUAUUUCAUUCACUUGAAUGUAAUGUGUCUGGACAUAAGUUAUUAGAGGAGAGGUGACUCAUUUAACAGGCUUACUGUGUGAAACAUCAGCUAAGGGAUCUGUGACACACACAGAUGCAGAAAUGCAUCUGUUUUAGUUAAAAAGACUAAUUGACAUAUAUUUUCAAGUUAUAUGAUGGACAUACUUCAAAUAAUCCCAAGAGAACCCAAUAAAAUAAACUUUUAUGACUACAGUAUAAUCUGUGACAUAAUUAACAUAGCAUAGAGAUAUUAUACAAGAAAAUAAGACCACCUAUGUCCCCUUUAACAGCAGUGACAAAAGAGGAAAUCAGAAAGAUUGAAGGGGUGAGAUAGAUAAGAAUGGGUUCUCUUUUGCUAAGAUGCAGGUUACUGGUUUCAAGGUCUGAGUGUAAGGCUGAGGAACUAAGGGGAUUUUCAAGAUCAUAUGUGGGAAAGUUGGAAGAAGAGGCUAGCAAACAAGCAAAAAGUUGUCAUCUAUACUUACAGUAACAGGUUAGUGACAAUGAGAGUAGAAAGAAUGUUAUAUCUCUCCAAUUCCUAAUAUAAAAACAACAUGAAGGCUAGUCUUGGUUAUCAACUUACUAUAUCUGAAAUUAACUACAGUCAACAUAUCUGGGUACACCUGUGAUGUAAUUGUCUUAAUUUUAUCACCUGGAACAGGAAGACCCAUAUUACCCUGGAUCUUUUGAGAUAGGAAGAUCUGCCUUUAGUUUGGGCCACACCAUCUGGUGGCAGCCUAUAAAGGACGUGGAAGAAGAACGAUUUUGCUUUUGCCUGCAUGCUCUUGCUUUUUCUGAAAUCAACCUGGCCAGCAUCAUUCCUGCUUCCAACUAAGAUCCAUGACACAGACAAUCAUGCAGGAUUCAUCACCUCUGUGUAAAUGAAUGGAUAAAUCAAAAGGAAGAAAAAAGGAGAGAUAAAAAGAAAGAGAAGAAAAGCUUUUAUAAGGGUAUGGUAUGGAAACAGUGCAUCUAAAUCAGGCAGGUGGUCACAGAUGUAGUUUGCUGUUUUUAUGAUGCUGGUCUCAGGAACUUAGGAGUGUGCAAAAAGCCUUGCUCUAGCUUGCUUUAUAUGGCAGGAAUGAAAAUUGUGACCAAAAGCAAUUUGAGGCAGAAAUAGUUUAUUUUUGCUUCCAGUUCCAGAAAACAGUGCGUCACUGAAUGGAGAGAAGGAGUUGAAACUCAUCAAGCAGGGAAGGAACUUGAAGUAGAGGCCACAGAAGAAAAGCCGCUUAUUCACCUAGCUUUGUCUUAUAGUGUGGAUCUAUCUGCCUAGGUACUUUCCGAAAAAGGCAUGGUCCUAUCAUGUUAGCCAAGGCAAUCUGCCACAGGUAUGGCCACAGCCCAAUCUGACCUUAGAAAUGACUCACUUGAAGGCCCCUCUUCCCAGGUGACUAGAUUGUGU